RNAcentral lists this ribosomal RNA (1505 nucleotides) under uncultured Bordetella sp. RNAcentral describes it as "partial 16S-23S ribosomal RNA intergenic spacer". It matches the Rfam family "Bacterial small subunit ribosomal RNA". The record is from RNAcentral. Lineage: Bacteria; Pseudomonadati; Pseudomonadota; Betaproteobacteria; Burkholderiales; Alcaligenaceae.
CAGCAGGUAAAAGUAACUCGAAGAGAUUUGAUUAUGGCUCAGAUUGAACGCUGGCGGGAUGCUUUACAUGCAAGUCGAACGGCAGCACGGACUUCGGUCUGGUGGCAGUGGCGAACGGGUGAGUAAUGUAUCGGAACAGUGCCUAGUAGCGGGGGAUAACUACGCGAAAGCGUAGCUAAUACCGCAUACGCCCUUCGGGGGAAAGCAGAGGGGACCUUCGGGCCUCACCCUGCUGGUGGCCGAAUAUCCGGAUUAGCUAGUUGGUGAGGUAGCAUUCCUGAGCGACGAUCCGUAGCUGGUUUGAGAGGACGACCAGCCACACUGGGACUGAGACACGGCAGACUCCUACGGGAGGCAGCAGUGGGGAAUUUUUUGGACAAUGGAAACCCUGAUCCAGCCAUCCCGCGUGUGCGAUGAUGGCCUUCGGGUUGUAGUAAAGCACUUUUACAGCAGGAAAGAAACGGCACGGGAUAAUACCCCGUGCAACUGACAAGGCCACCUGCAGAUAAGCGCAACUAACUACGUGCCAGCAGCCGCGGUGGCACGGCCAGGGUGCGGCGACCAUCGGAAUUACUGGAGGCGUAAAGCGUGCGCAGGCGGUUCGGAAAGAAAGAUGUGAAAUCCCAGAGCUUAACUUUGGAGCGACAUUUUUAUACCGAGCUAGAAGUAAUAUCAGAGGGAGGUGGAAUUCCACGCGUGCAGCAGUGAAAUGUGUAGAUAUGCGGAGGAACACCGAUGGCGAGAGGCAGCCUCCUGGGAUAACACUGACGCUCAUGCACAGCGGUGAGGCAAACGGAUUAGAUACCCUGGUAGUCCACGCCCUAAACGAUGUCAACUAGCUGUUGGGGCCUUCGGGCCUUGGUAGCGCAGCUAACGCGUGAAGUUGACCGCCUGGAGAUACGGUCGCAAGAUUAAAACUCAAAGGAAUUGACGGGACCCGCACAAGCGGUGGAUGAUGUGGAUUAAUUCGAUGCAACGCGAAAAACCUUACCUACCCAUGACAUGUCUGGAAUCGAAGAGAUUUGGGAGUCUCACCGAAACCAGGAACACAGGUGCUGCAUGGCUGUCGUCAGCUCGUGUCGUGAGAUGUUGGGUUAAGUCCCGCAACGAGCGCAACCCUUGUCAUUAGUUGCUACGAAAGGGCACUCUCUAAUAGGACUACCGGUAAUAAACCGGAGGAAGGUGGGGAUGACGUCAGAGUCCUCAUGGCCCUUAUGGGUAGGGCUUCACGUCAUACAAUGGUCGGGACAGAGGGUCGCUAGCCCGCGAGGGGGGAGCCAAUCCCAGAAACCCGAUCGUAGUCCGGAUCGCAGUCUGCAACUCGACUGCGUGAAGUCGGAAUCGCUAGUAAUCGCGGAUCAGCAUAUGGUGAAUACGUUCCCGGGUCUUGUACACCGCCCGUCACACCAUGGGAGUGGGUUUUACCAGAAGUAGUUAGCCUAACCGUAAGGAGGGCGAUUACCACGGUAGGAUUCAUGACUGGGGUGAAGUCCGUAACAAGGUAA